RNAcentral lists this ribosomal RNA (467 nucleotides) under uncultured bacterium. RNAcentral describes it as "partial 16S ribosomal RNA". It matches the Rfam family "Bacterial small subunit ribosomal RNA", at positions 28 to 506 of the family's 1533-position model. The record is from RNAcentral.
GACGAACGCUGGCGGCGUGCUUAACACAUGCAAGUCGAACGGAAAGGCCCUGCUUUUGUGGGGUGCUCGAGUGGCGAACGGGUGAGUAACACGUGAGUAACCUGCCCUUGACUUUGGGAUAACUUCAGGAAACUGGGGCUAAUACCGGAUAGGAGCUCCUGCUGCAUGGUGGGGGUUGGAAAGUUUCGGCGGUUGGGGAUGGACUCGCGGCUUAUCAGCUUGUUGGUGGGGUAGUGGCUUACCAAGGCUUUGACGGGUAGCCGGCCUGAGAGGGUGACCGGCCACAUGGGGACUGAGAGACGGCCCAGACUCCUACGGGAGGCAGCAGUGGGGAAUAUUGCACAAUGGGCGGAAGCCUGAUGCAGCAACGCCGCGUGCGGGAUGACGGCCUUCGGGUUGUAAACCGCUUUCGCCUGUGACGAAGCGUGAGUGACGGUAAUGGGUAAAGAAGCACCGGCUAACUACGU